This is an RNA transcript of Syngnathus typhle (broad-nosed pipefish), 5401 nucleotides long. RefSeq lists it as uncharacterized. The record is from RefSeq and is a predicted model, not a curated record. The transcript is spliced from 2 exons. NCBI's taxonomy places the organism in Eukaryota, Metazoa, Chordata, Actinopteri, Syngnathiformes, Syngnathidae.
UGCCAUAAGAAAAUGCACUGAACGUUUUGAUCUAAGCUCUAUUUCCAAGUGGGAACCAAUUUCAGUUUUUGUGUUAGCGGUUCCUUUUUGAGAGUUACACAAGGGCGAGAGUGUCUGAUUUUGAGCCACCGGGUGGCGACGUUUUUCCGUUUGAACAAGCAAGUGGUGAAGAACGCAAGAAAUGCUUAUUUUGCGUCCUCUCUGAUAGCAUUUUUGUUUAUUGUUGAAACCGGAGUUUGAAGACCUGUAUUGUCAGGAUUUACGUUUUUCUUCGUUUUCUCCCUCGAGCAAAUGCGGCAAUGAGGUAAUCCUUAGAUGUUAGCCAUGCUAUGUUAUGUUAGCAAGAACAUGACGAAUGUGUUUUAAGUGCAUGUGCAGAUUUAAGUUAUUUUGUGUGUAACGUUUAUUGUUCUCUGUGAGAACGUUUUAUGUUAAUAGUCUUUAUGUCUUUUAGUUCUCACGGCAUGUGUGUGGAGAAGUUGAAUAAAUGCCCGUUUUGAAGAACUGCUUGUACGCCUGAUUGACAAGAGGGAGCUACAGUGAGAACUCAGCCAGCCCGGCGCCAGAACAAGACGGUGUUCGGCAGAGCUACAAGCAAGUCACUUCACUCACCUCUUCCAUCGGACAGAUAAGAGACUGUACAUUCACCUGCCUACACAAAUAGCUACCUGAGUCCAGAGAGCUUUGGGUGCCAGUCAACAAUAAGUAAAACAUUUGAACAAGUUAAAUGUUUAAAGGUGGACUAGCCUCAAUUGCUGUAAAGGGACCUACAAGUGCUAAAUUGUGCAAUGUUAUGGUGAUGUGUGCAUGUUGUAAGGUUUAAGUGCGUGCUUAUUUGCACCUAGUAAUGUCUGAUUGAGGUGUGAACGACCAUUCAUAGCAUUUGAAAACAAGUUCAUUUGCGAACAUUCAAAGGUGUAGAACAACAUUUAAGUGAUUAAGUCAUUGCAAUGAAAAAUUAAGUUUAUUGUACAUUUAGUCAAUAUAUUAGACAGGUUGGUUGAUAAAGUAAAUUACAGGAGUCAGUAGUAAUUCAAGAUAGCCUACUGUAGUCAAGUGAUAAAACUAUAACAUCAUUACAUUAGUAAAUCAGAUAAAUACUGAGUUCAUGAGACUUCCUAAAAAUGGAUAGUGAGCAAGCAGAUAAAACUCUUAAGAGGGAGACUGAAAUAAGUGAAGGCAAACAACCUGCCCCAGAAGAUGCACUAAGAAGAAGUGAAAGAUCGAGAAGGCUCACUGAGAAGGGACAAGAACUCGAAGAGACUAAACUCAAAGGUCUCCAACAUCGUUUCUCACGUACCUAUGACAAGUGGAAGAUUCUUGCUAAGAAAUCAAGGAAGGAGAUAGAGGGAGCCUCUUCUCAAGAGAACCUACAAACUCUCAUCAACAAGAUAAAAGAAGCAUCAAAUGAUGUACAGCAGGCGUACGAAGACCUGCGCAAAUGCAUAAUCCCUGAUAAAGAGACACGCCGUCGAACAGACACCUGCGACACUGUCUCAAGGCAGAUAUUAGAGCAUGCUUGGAACCAUCUCCAAGACAAAGAUAACGAGCAAGAAAUAGAGUGGUUUGAGACUGGCUCUGUGUUCUCAUUAGGAGUAUCAGAAGCAUGCAGUGCAAGCUCAAGAUCAUCACUCUCAAGUAAAUCGUCAUGUAAAUCUUCAAAAAUAAGUGAAGCUGCAGCAGAAUUAGCAGCAAAUGAAGCCACUUUGGAAGUCCAAGAGCAAGUGGAGCGUGAGGAACGUGAACUCAGAAACCUAGAAGCUGAGUACAGACAAAGGCUUGUGCGACAAAAAAAGGAACGUGCACAAGAAGAAGAGCAAUGUAGACAAAGGCUUGCACAACAAGAAGAAGAAUGUGCUGCAAAUAAACAGGUCUUGGAAGAAAAGCGCAGAAAGAUAGAACGCUUAGAGACCAUAAAAAAGAUGAAUGCCGCCAAGGCCAAACUAGAAGUGUAUAAACAAGAACAAGGAUCAACCUCAGACUUGCUGGAUCUAUUCAAGGAUUAUAAGCCCAAACGAGAAAGGCUUACAUUCGACUCAAAACCUGCUGUCACGCCACAAUUAAUCACAAGGAUGCAAUCUUCUAUAACUACUCCCAAAGAGGAUAGCACAACUGAUUUCGCCAAGGUACUAGCAGAGUCCUUCAGUGUAAGCCGUCUCCCAGCACCAGAGCCUGCUGUUUUCAGUGGAGAUCCACUAAAGUACAAGGGCUGGAAAAUGUCCUUUCAAACGCUGAUAGGCAGAAAGAAUAUACCAGCGAACGAAAAAAUCUACUACCUACAAAAAUAUGUUGGUGGACCAGCAAAGAAAGCCAUUGAGGGAUACUUCCUUCUGGGAACAGAUGCAGCCUAUCAGACAGCGCUCGAUGUCCUGGAAAAAAGAUAUGGAAGCUCCUUUAUGGUUGCUAAGGCUUUCAGAGAUAAGCUGGCCUCAUGGCCAAACAUAGGACCCAAGGAAAGCAUUCAGCUACGAGAGUUCUCAGACUUCCUUCAAGGCUGUCAAGCAGCCAUGUCGCAAAUAAAGAGCCUGGAGGUCCUUAACGACUGUGGUGAAAACCAACGAAUGCUCUCCAAACUCCCCGACUGGCUUACAGCAAGAUGGAACCGAAGGGUGACCAGAAUGGAAAAGGAAAAUGAGACUUUCCCCAGCUUCGAUCAGUUCGUGGGAUUCGUCACAGAGGAAGCCGAUAUAGCUUGUAAUCCGAUUACCUCCCUUCACGCUCUGAAGUCUGUAGAUGGUGGAAAGGAGAAGCCACAAAAAACACGAAGUGUUGGUGCUAAGGUGCUAGCAAGUAGCUCUGAAGAGAAAACAGAUGCUAAAGGAUGUGUAUUCUGUGAGAAGUCAAAUCAUGGCUUACAGACAUGUCGAAGGUUCUUGAAAGAGACAACUGCAGAACGGGUCAAGUUUGUGAAAACAAACAAGCUCUGUUUUGGAUGUUUGAAAUCAGGACAUCAGUCCAAGAACUGUGAGAAGAGAAGCAUUUGUGAGACAUGCAAAAGGAAGCAUCCAACAUGUCUACAUGAAAAUCGUCCAAGGGAAGAAGAUAGGAAAGAACAAGAGGACGGCGAAAGAAAGGAGAGUGGGAGACGCUUUAAGAAAAAGGAAGACUUAUCAGAGUCUGAAGAGAAAGAAGAGACACCAGUAGAGGCAACAGCUAACAGAGUGGUGCAAGACAAGAGGAGCACCUAUUCCUCCACAGUUGUUCCUGUAUGGCUGUCCACAGCAAGUAAUCCAGAGCAGGAAGUGCUCGUAUACGCUCUAUUGGACAACCAAAGCGACACCACCUUUAUCCUGCAAGAAACGGCAGAAGUGUUAGUUACAAAGAAACAGCCUGUGCAAUUAAAGCUCUCCACUAUGUCAUCCAAAGAUACCGUCAUCCAGAGUCAGAAGUUAACUGGACUGCAGGUCAGAGGUUAUAAUGAGACAAGGAAAAUAUCUCUCCCAGUAACCUACACAAGAGAGUUUAUUCCUGCAAACCUAAGUCAUGUCCCAAUACCUGAGACAGCAAGAUCAUGGCCUCACCUAGAGCACCUUGCUGGAGAGAUCACUCCUUUAUGUGACUGUGAGAUUGGCCUGCUCAUAGGCUACAACUGUUCUCAGGCCCUGUUGCCCAGAGAAGUGGUGUCAGGAAAGGAUAAUGAGCCUUUCGCUCAACGAACAGACUUGGGCUGGAGUAUAGUUGGCUGUGCAGAUCCCUGCGUCGAUUAUGGAGAUGCAAUUGGAAGCAGCCACAGGAUCGUUGUGAAACAAGUUAUCACACCACCAGAAGUCAUUAAGGCACUCGAAUCAGACUUCAACGAAAGAGUAGCCGAAGAGGCUCAUAUCUCACAGGAAGAUCUACGUUUUCUAUCCAUAAUGGAGAAAAGGCAUCCGGACAAGAAAAAAAAGCUCAAGUCGGAGCACGCCAGCAGAGCUGAGCCGCAGAGUCAGUUGGGGCGCUGGAAGGAAAAGGAGCGAGCCGGGCCCGCUUCCGCCCACUUCCCGGGCAAUAAACUCAAGUCUCUGUCCGCCGCCAAGAAGCAAGAAGACGGCCGAAAGGGUCGAGACAAGCGCUCCGAUACGGAUCACAGAGAAAGGGACCGCGCGAGUUACGACAAGAAGAAGCCGUCGGAGAAAAGCUCAGAUCACGGCAGAUCCGAUCGCUCCAAGGACUGUGAGCGAAAAAGAAAGGACAAGCUUAAAGAUGGGACACUUUCCUCCACUUCCAAUCUGAAAUCACUUCUGGAGGAGAAGAAGUCUUAUCGCUCUGAAAGUGGCAAGUCCUCAUUCACAAAAUCCAAAGAAGAGGCAGCGGGGAGGAUGCCGGAGAAAGAUCGGGAGCGGAGGGAGCGAGACAGAGAUUCGGACAGGCACAAAGACAAGGAGCGCCACAAGGACCGUUCCCAGCAGAGCAAGGCCAACAAAGUCAAGCCCAGCGGAGACAUCAAGGUGGGAGAGAUGUUAGCAGAAGACACUGAAGUUCGAAAGGCCUUCGUGGGCAAGACCUUGACGACGGAAGACUCACUGCUUGAUCGCUUCCAGAAGUUCUCCAGCUGGAUGAUGUUAGUCAAAGCCAUCGCUAGACUCAAACGACGUGUCAAAGAGCUCAAGGGUCUGACAGAAAGAAUCAAUGAAGCCACAAGUCUCGAAGAAAGAAAAGAAGCAGAAAUCACGAUCAAUGACAUAGUGAUUAUAAAGGAUGAAAAUACACCAAGAAAUGAAUGGAAGCUGGCUAAGGUCACACAAGUGUACCCAAAUGAAGAUGGUCAUGUGAGGAAGAUACAGUUAUUGAUCAGCGACUCAGAACUAAGUGACACUGGAAAACGAGUCAACAAACAAACCUACCUGGAGAGACCUAUACAUAAGACUGUGACCUUGCUUGAAGCAGAAUGAGAGACUCCAGUCUACCCUCUCUAGAGCCCCUCCCUAGCGCCAGCUAGCUUAUGACCUAAUCCUUAGUUAUAGUUACCUUAAUUAUACUUACCUCAGUUAUACUUGCCCUUUUUCUCUUAGUCCUACGCAUCUCAGAUAGUUGAAGGAAAUCACAAGUGAUUUGGUGGGAGUGUAGCUGCCAUAAGAAAAUGCACUGAACGUUUUGAUCUAAGCUCUAUUUCCAAGUGGGAACCAAUUUCAGUUUUUGUGUUAGCGGUUCCUUUUUGAGAGUUACACAAGGGCGAGAGUGUCUGAUUUUGAGCCACCGGGUGGCGACGUUUUUCCGUUUGAACAAGCAAGUGGUGAAGAACGCAAGAAAUGCUUAUUUUGCGUCCUCUCUGAUAGCAUUUUUGUUUAUUGUUGAAACCGGAGUUUGAAGACCUGUAUUGUCAGGAUUUACGUUUUUCUUCGUUUUCUCCCUCGAGCAAAUGCGGCAAUGAGUUCUCACGGCAUGUGUGUGGAGAAGUUGAAUAAAUGCCCGUUUUGAAGAA